Molecule: long non-coding RNA, 2144 nt
Filed under: Phaseolus vulgaris (common bean)
Lineage: Eukaryota; Viridiplantae; Streptophyta; Magnoliopsida; Fabales; Fabaceae
Description: long non-coding RNA (PVUL_LNC000309)
Source: RNAcentral
AAAUGUGAUUAACCAUGGAGAGCCUUCAGCUUGCAAAUUUCUUCUCAACCACCACUCCAUCAAAGAAAUGUCAGGUAAAAUUUAAUACACAAAUAUUACGAAUGUCAUAAUUAUUAAAAAUUUAAUAUAAUUAUGUGUGUACGAAAUUGAAAUAGUUUUAAUUUAGAAUGACUUAAGUUUGGACAAUUUAAAAUAGUUUUAAUUUAGAAUAAAUUGAUUAAAUUAUAAAAGAAUUACUGAAAUAAGUGUGAUUUAACAAUCUUAAAUAAUAAGAAGAGUAAUAUAAAAAGAAAAAUAUUUAUAAACUUAGUUUUCAAAAUUUUGUUUAAAAGUAGUGUUUUGAUCUUUUAUAAAAAUUUAAUAUGAUUGGUCUUUUGCUUAGAACUAUAUGGUGCAUAGGAGAUAUCUCUGAAGUAUUUUGAGAUUUUUUUUAAGAUACCUCAGGGAGAUCUAAGGCACAUAAGAACUAGAUUUGCAUGAUUGAGUUUUAUUAUCAAUCACAAUAUCAAAUCAAAUACAAAUAUUAGGACAAGACCUGAAUCACUUACCACUAGACUUCCAUCUUCAAAAACAGAAGUGUAGUUGGUGCUUAUAGCAGAUUAUCAUCAUAGGCAACAAAUUAGCAUAGAAACUAGAUAUUUGGUUCCAUUCCAUUUACAAUAAUUUUUUACUUUGCCUGCAUAUAAAAGCAGCUCAGUGGUUCCACAACUAUAUGAGCAACAUCAACAACUCGAGUUCGUCUAACCGCAAAGGACAAUCUUUAAGGAUUUAUGCAACCUAAAAAGAACAAAGUGUAGACCUUAACUGAAAGGUCCUAGCAAAAUCAAAAAGCAAUAGAAAAAUGGGAACACUUUUCUCAUUGCAUACGUAAGAUACAAAGAUUAAUUUUUAAAUUCGAAAUAUAAAUAUAAUGCUUAAAGAAAGUCGCAUUUGUUUUCAACUUGUUCACUAUAUUUUCCUCUGAGAUUUAAAUUAUUCUUAGAAAAAAUACAAAAACACCAAACCUAGUAUUAUAGACGUAAAAGGAAAAGUAUAUUUACAAAUUUACCUUGAUAGAAAUUAUUAUUAUUAUUAUUAUUAUUAUUAUUAUUAUUAUUAUUAUUAUCUGUAAUGUAUUUGUUCCAGAUCAUAGAAUGAAUAAUAAUAAUAGUCAUGGAAUAUAAAAUGGAAGAACUUAAAAUAUUCAUAAGAAAUAUUGUGUUGGAAUACUGAAAGAAGAUUGCAAAAGACUUACACAAACCAUGGGAGACAGUUGCUCAAGAAGAAAACAGUUUAUUUCAUAGACAAAACUUUUAUACAAGUUUCUUAGUGAACUCUCUACUCAACUCUGUCUUUCUUAUCUGGAAGAGCUUCUUGAUAUAGGCACACUACAUUACUUACGACAACUAGAUUUACAUUAUUGUUCAGAAAAGUCUACAUUAUUAUUCAGAUUCCAAAUUAUUGUUAUCUUGGAAAAUCUUCUUUUUGUUGUUAUGUGGAAAAAUCUUCUGCCUCUUGCCACGGUUGCCAAAUGCUCCAACUACUGUUCUUUGAUACUUUUUACUUUGUAUUGAUGUCAGAAAAUGUAUUGACACAUUACGGUUAAUGAUUCUUCAAUAAUACAUGUCUUCAUUGCAGAGAUAAGGAUUGGAUUGUGAUGAUUCAUUAUCAGUACUGACUUUGUCUGAGCCUUUUGAAGAAGUAUCUUUUUGAAGAGCUCUUUCAAACUCUUCUUUGGAGGUUGUUGAUGCUAAGGAUGCUAUUAAUUGUUGUUUCUCUACUAAGAAGAAUGCAUCUUGUUUGAGUGCAGGGCUAUCUUUGCUUCUUGAAUUAUGCUUUAUCCAUUCUUUAAUCCUGUUCUUGUACACUAAUUUAUUAUUGAACUUCUUCCACCAUUUUAUCUUUAUCUUUCUUGAUAACAUCCUGAUUUUGACUCCUUCAUAUGGUUGUACCAUAGUAUAAUCUCAAGCUACUAUCCAAGUAUUAGCUUGAGAGGCUUAUGAAAGAUAUAAGCCUAUAUCCCAGUACAAAUGUAGAAUUUUUGUCAACAAUACGUAUACACUUCAUUUAUUUUUGUUGGAAAUAUUGAAUGUAAUGGUCCAAAGUUGACAAACCAUUUUAUGAAUUCGAACCAUCUUGGAAAUUUUAAAGAUACUCCUUUUUUG